RNAcentral lists this non-coding RNA (83 nucleotides) under zebrafish metagenome. Its description in RNAcentral is "SucA RNA motif". It matches the Rfam family "SucA RNA motif". The record is from RNAcentral.
CGCAUCCGCCAUCCGGUCCAGCCGUGUCGCGGAAGGUUUGAUCAACCAGCUAGAUGUUCCCUCAAGGGGAACGGAGGUCAGCG